This is a small nuclear RNA of Otolemur garnettii (small-eared galago), 104 nucleotides long. Lineage: Eukaryota; Metazoa; Chordata; Mammalia; Primates; Galagidae. The record is from Ensembl.
GUGUUCGCUUUGGCAGCACAUAUACUAAAAUUGGAACGACACAGAGAUUAGAAUGGCCGCUGCGCAAGGAUGACAUGCAAAUUCGUGAAGCGUUCCAUAUUUCU